GCCCAAGUGAGGAAAGAAGUUACCAAGAGGGUGACAGUGCCAUUCAUGGUGAUUGCUAGCUGUAAUUAAUUACACACUGACGAUGGCAGGCACUAUGGUCUUAAUAACAAGUUUAUACUUGCUUCAUGAAGCAAGUUGGGAAAUUCUCCCUUUUUAUCCUAUAUUCUGGAAGUAUGUAUAUAAGGUUCUGAGGAGCCCUUGCUAUGAAACAAAAGGGAGCUACUGGAAGAUACACCCCCUGGGAGUUGCCUUAGUGGUGUUUUACCUCACUGUAUCCAAGAGUGAGAAUAAGUGGUUGUAACCAUAACUCUUCAACAGCUGGCUGAAUAAACACAGAUGGUCAAUGCUCGACACCAACAUCCUCACAAACAUAUAUACGCAGAAUGGCCCUGAGCCACACAAAAGACAUUCCCAUGUCAGUAGAUGAAUGUUUAUCCUUAACCAUCACAGAACCUUCACCAGCAAUCCAGCUCCUUGGUGAUACAACUCAAGGGCUCUCAUUUUUCACCUCUAGAUCCAAAACUCUGUAGUUCACCACAUCCUGGACCAAAUGUCCCAGCUUCCUGCUUAGAAAGUAUAUAUGUCUUCAGUUCCACGAGCCUUCAUAAGGAAUUGAGAAAUGCUUCCUCUACUCUCUUACUAAGGAUAUGGGAUGUUUUGUUUUAUUGAACUAGGAAUUCUAUCAGAGGUUUCUUUGACAGCAAAUUAUGACUGUGGGCAAAGUGGACACAGUGCAAAGGAGAAUGAAGAAAAAGCUCCCACCGCCAAAAGAUAUUUUCCUCUCCCCAGAACACUUUGCCAGAACAAGCUAAUAAACUUCCUUUUGUGUUUCUGGUGAUCAAUGGCUGGUGGGAUAUAAUCUAACAACCCAUCACCCAGAAAUGACGGGGUAGAUAGAACACUAAAAUGACCUACUGAAGAAGAAUCAGUGACAGCACCAGGUUUGGAUGUCUUAGAGGAGUGCUUCCACAACAAUGAUUCUGCUGAACUGGAAGUUUGAGACUACUCCCUGGUUAUUUUGAAUUCCUUAUGGUAUUGGGUCAACAGUGAAAGAGAAGGGACACUUAUCAACUGGAGGAAUUGAUGCUGACCACCAAAGGGGAGUCAGGUUGCUGUUACAAAAUGGGGGCAGGAAGGACAAUGUAUGGAACUGAGGUAUUCUUUCAGAUGCCCCUAGUAUUUCCAUUUCCAAUAGCAAAAGUUAUUGGAAAAUUAUAACAACUAGAGAAAUGCAUAACCACUAAAGAUUCAGACCCUUUAAUAAUAUUUGAGUCACCUGACCAGUUAAAAGGAUUUAGGCCAGUUGAAAUGCUGGCUGAAGGUAAAGAAAACUUGAAAUGUUUCAUGCAAGAAGGAAGUUAUAAACACCAUUACAGCCCUCUAAAACUAGAACUAUAACAACUAUGUGUAUUUUACUUCCUUGCUUGUUACAUAAAUACAUAUAAAUAUAUAAUAUAUUACAUGAUA
Hyaena hyaena (striped hyena) is the source of this 1467-nucleotide long non-coding RNA. RefSeq lists it as uncharacterized. NCBI's taxonomy places the organism in Eukaryota, Metazoa, Chordata, Mammalia, Carnivora, Hyaenidae. The transcript is spliced from 8 exons. The record is from RefSeq and is a predicted model, not a curated record.